Molecule: small nucleolar RNA, 216 nt
Organism: Pongo abelii (Sumatran orangutan)
Lineage: Eukaryota; Metazoa; Chordata; Mammalia; Primates; Hominidae
Gene: U3
Rfam family: Small nucleolar RNA U3
About the family: Small nucleolar RNAs (snoRNAs) are involved in the processing and modification of rRNA in the nucleolus. There are two main classes of snoRNAs: the box C/D class, and the box H/ACA class. U3 snoRNA is a member of the box C/D class.
Source: Ensembl
AAAACUAUACUUUCAGGGGUGAUUUCUAUAGUUUGGUACUAGAGAGGUUUUUCUGAACGUGUAGAGCACCGAAAACUACGAGGAAGUAGUGUAGUGCGUUCUCCCGAGCGUGAAAUCGGCAUUUGGUGUUGCUUCAUCACAACUACCAUUUGCUAUUGAUGAUUUUUCUUACUGUUCUAUUUGAGAGUAAAGAGGAGAAAAUACUGUCUGAGUGGG